GACCGCGUAGCUCAGUUGGAAGAGCAUUGGGCUGGUAUUCCACAGGUCGUAGGUUCGAAUCCCACCGUGGCCG
This 73-nucleotide transfer RNA is filed under the name Paramuricea clavata. It matches the Rfam family "tRNA". From Rfam's summary of the family: Transfer RNA (tRNA) molecules are approximately 80 nucleotides in length. Their secondary structure includes four short double-helical elements and three loops (D, anti-codon, and T loops). The record is from Rfam by way of RNAcentral. Lineage: Eukaryota; Metazoa; Cnidaria; Anthozoa; Malacalcyonacea; Plexauridae.